RNAcentral lists this ribosomal RNA (301 nucleotides) under uncultured bacterium. Its description in RNAcentral is "partial 16S ribosomal RNA". It matches the Rfam family "Bacterial small subunit ribosomal RNA", at positions 509 to 807 of the family's 1533-position model. The record is from RNAcentral.
CAGCAGCCGCGGGAAUACGAAGGGUGCAAGCGUUAAUCGGAAUUACUGGGCGUAAAGCGUGUGUAGGUGGUUGUUUAAGUCUGUCGUGAAAGCCCUGGGCUCAACCUGGGAAUUGCGAUGGAUACUGGGCGACUAGAGUGCGGUAGAGGAUAGUGGAAUUUCCGGUGUAGCAGUGAAAUGCGUAGAGAUCGGAAGGAACAUCUGUGGCGAAGGCGACUAUCUGGGCCAACACUGACACUGAGACACGAAAGCGUGGGGAGCAAACAGGAUUAGAUACCCCCGUAGUCCCUGUCUCUUAUAC